CAUGAAAAGACAUGGAAGAAUGUUAAAUACAUGUUACUAAAUGAAAGAAGCCAAUCUGAAAAGCCUACAUAGUAUAUGAUUCCAACGAUAUGGCAUUCUGGAAAAGGCAAAGCUAUGGGAAAGUGAAAAGAUCAAUGGCUGCUGAGGUUGAGUGAGUGGGGCUGAAUGAAUAGGCUGGGUACAGAGUAUAUUUCUUUUCUUUUAAUUGUAUCUAUACAAGAUGAUUGAUAUUAACUAAACUUACAGCAGUAAUUAUUUCACAAUAGAUGUAAAUCAAACCAUCACGCUAUGUACCUUAAACUUAUACAGCGAUAUAUGCCAAUUUCUCAAUGAACCUGGAAAAAAAAUAGAUGGAGACUUUAUUUUUGCUUUAAGUGACAGAGGAAAGAGAUUGUAUCUAAGCCAUUCACAGAUUUUUUAAUGCAGUUUUUCUUACCUAAAUUCAAGCUGGUCACAAUCCCAAGCAAUUAAAGAAGACUUUGAUUCGAGGCUUUACAACAUCUUUCAAUACCUUUACAAUGAAUAAAUUAUCUUGACCAUCUAAUCUUAAACAUUCCAUUUUAAUAAUUUUUCUCCCAUCUUAUUUCAUUUUUCUCGAGAAUUAAAGGAAGUCAACUUUUAUAAACAAAAAUAAUGAACAAGUGAUUGUUUAUUAUCCCUACGUGAAAAUAUUCGUGCUAGGUUUUCCUGUUUUCUUCUGAACGGUGACCUCUGAAAUGAAAACAACUGACGGAAAAACAAAAGUAAAAGUCUUGCCUCAGACCUGGCUCAGGGCCAGAGGAUCCCAUCUUCCCAUCUUUUCAUCAAGUUGGUAGUAAGGGUUCAGAAAAAGACAGUUUCCAGCUGGGAUGGGACACUGGUGUCCUUAUCUGACAGAAGAGAUAUCUAUUACAUGACUGGUUCUAUUCCCUGCUCAACUACUUACGUGUAGUGAGGCCAUAGAUAAAUUACUUUAUCUGUCUCUGCUUUUUUUUUUUCUUCUGUAUCUGUAAUCUGAAGAUAAUAGAAUUAUACUGCCUCCUUAUACACUUUAGUGACACACUUGUGAAGGUAAAUUGAGUCUGAAUUGUAAUGUGUCUGCAAAGUCCCAAGAGCUCUGGGAAUAAAGGCUAUGUAUAAAUAAAAAUGUAUUACAAAUGCUUGAAUAUUAAUAAAGGCUUUUAUAUUUUACCCUUAUGGCACUCUAGAAAAUCAUAAAUGUUAAAUAUCAAAUGGAUCUUACCCCCACCCCAAAUGAUACUUCCCAAAGUCUCUAAGUUAGUCCCUAGGGAAUAACCAUAAAGGAGAUAAAAUCUGUCUGUGCCCUCGGGUUCGACAUCUCAGGAUGAUGCAUUUAUGCUACCACUGCAAAUGGAUUUAGGGUUUUCAUGGGCUUUCUGCCUCCGUUAAAAGACGCUCUCAGCCAAGGAUUUCAUAAAUGUGUCCACUGAGGUAGAAGAGACUGACAGACCGAAUGUGUUAUCUUUCAGUAUUUUUAAAUUUCUAAAAUAGUACACAGUCUUUGGCCAGAUGGAUUAAUCUGAAAUGGGAUUUUAAGAUUUCAAUUUGAGUAUCAGUUGGGAGGCUCUACCUUGUUUGUUUUCUGAUAGUGGUAGGGGUCAAGGAAGGGAGGAAAUAGCAAGCUG
Molecule: long non-coding RNA, 1625 nt
Filed under: Canis lupus familiaris (dog)
Lineage: Eukaryota; Metazoa; Chordata; Mammalia; Carnivora; Canidae
Description: lncRNA (ENSCAFG00000051649.1)
Source: RNAcentral